GACGAACGCUGGCGGCGUGCUUAACACAUGCAAGUCGAGCGAUGAAAUCCCUUCGGGGAUGGAUUAGCGGCGGACAGGUGAGUAACACGUGGGUAACCUGCCUCAAAGAGGGGGAUAGCCUCCCGAAAGGGAGAUUAAUACCGCAUAACAUUAGUUUUUCGCAUGGAGGACUAAUUAAAGGAGUAAUCCGCUUUGAGAUGGACCCGCGGCGCAUUAGCUAGUUGGUGAGGUAACGGCUCACCAAGGCGACGAUGCGUAGCCGACCUGAGAGGGUGAUCGGGCACAUUGGAGCUGGUACACGGUCCAGACUCCUACGGGAGGCAGCAGUGGGGAAUAUCGCACAAUGGGCGAAAGCCUGAUGCAGCAACGCCGCGUGAGUGAUGAAGGCCUUCGGGUUGUAAAGCUCUGUCUUUUGGGACGAUAAUGACGGUACCAAAGGAGGAAGCCACGGCUAACUACGUGCCAGCCGCCGCUGUAA
This 478-nucleotide ribosomal RNA is filed under the name uncultured bacterium. RNAcentral's name for it is "partial 16S ribosomal RNA". It matches the Rfam family "Bacterial small subunit ribosomal RNA", at positions 28 to 523 of the family's 1533-position model. The record is from RNAcentral.